Molecule: long non-coding RNA, 5041 nt
Filed under: Homo sapiens (human)
Lineage: Eukaryota; Metazoa; Chordata; Mammalia; Primates; Hominidae
Description: HSALNT0038332
Source: RNAcentral
AAAUUCUUAUGCCUUCUUUUUUUUAAUUAUGAGAACACUGAUCCUUAGAAAGUCUUUUUGGCUACCAUUAUCUUCUCUAAUAAUUUGAUUUCCUUUUCAAAACUCACACUGCUCAGAGAGGUGUCUCCACUCAUCCCCUUUUCCAAUACUCAUCAAUUCAAUACUCAUCAAUUCUUAUAAUCUGCACUAACUUUAUUUAAUUUAAAUCACUACAACUUGAAUAUGUGACUUUAAAAAUUACUCUAAUGUAAUUUAUCCAACAAAUUUUUUGAUCUUUUUUUAAUGUAGUGUUUGUCAGCUCCCACCAUAGAUGACUUCAAGCUGCCAAAAAUUUAACAAAUGGCUCAAAAAAUGUUGUACAUUUAACAAUAUUUCUUUUGAGCCUAUAAAAGCCAAAUUCAUCACACUACUGGCAGUGUUCACUCAGAUCUAGCGCUAGCUCCUAAGGAGCUUAUGGCCUGAUAACGGAGAUUGCAUUCAGUAGAGAAAAGCUAGGAGUCUAUUUUCUUUGACAAGGUCUUGGAAGCUCUGGAACCUUAGGUAUGAAUGUAACUGUUUUUUCCUUCUACAUAAGCAGCAAAGGUCAUUCAAGCAGAGGAGAUAGUGUGUUCAAAGGCAUGGAUGCAUGGAAUGCCAUGGCAUCAUUCUAUAUCCAAUGUGCAGUGGGAAGGGCUGUCAGAAAAGAGAGUUCAGCAGGCCUCAGAUCAUGGAGGUUUGUUUGUGUUCUAAUUGUUGUUCAAUUGUUCACUCAAUUGGAUCAACUACAUGACAACUAAGAUGUAUCUGCAGCUAAUUUUACCUGUAACACUUUGUCUCUUUAUUUUUAUCUAGAGCUAUAUCUAAAAAUCAGUGUAUUUUCCCAUCAUAUCUUCAAAACUCAUUUUGUUUUUCACCAUCUCUGGGAAGACAUUCUUGACUUCUUCCAUAUUAACUCCUGCUAUCUGCAUCCAAGCACAGUGAACCUCCUCUGCUUCUGGGUCCUUCCCAUGUGCCUCCAUGAAUGUAUUACCAACAUUGUCCAAAUAUGGCAUUCUGUAACAAACGUGGUAACAAAAACCAAGCCCCAAAGACUCCACUUACUGCUGUGCAUAGGUUGGUUAUGGAAUGUAGUGCAUGAAGAGCAUUUGCUUGCCUAAAAAUUGUUCAGACUCACAUUAGAGUGUCAAUUUCAUCAUACAUGUCUCUAAAUCACUAUAAAGUAUGAGCUUCUUGAGGACAGAAAUACUAUUUAUUCAUCCCUGCAUCCUCAUCUCCUGGCACAGAAUACAACCCACAGUGCAUGUGUUGAAUGAAUACAUAUAAAUAUGUGAUCGUUCUUAGCCAUCAGGUUACUAGUAUUCACUUUCUAUUUCUAUUCAAAUACAUAUAUAUCAAAUAAAUAUACAUAUAUACAUACACAUACCUAUAUAUCAAAUAGAAUAUAUACUUUUAUAUUUGAUAAAGUUUAAAAGUUAUACUUCAAAAGCUAUAAAUAUAUACUUUUUGAUAUCUAUUUGAAAUAUCAAAAAGUAUAUAUUUAUUUUUUUGUUCACUAGCAGAUAACUAUUUAAAAAAGAAGCAAUACAAAAUAGAGACUGUAUCUAUAUGAAUCACUCUACAAUUAAUUGUAUAUGGAUUUUAAUAUAUUUUAGAUCUAGCCUUUUUGUGGUUACUUUCAAGGGACCUUAGUAAGUUCAGAUUCUUAAAAUCACAUCAUGAGUCAUCACUGCCUUCUUUAUGGAAAUGCAAAAGCCUUAGAAAUGUGUUAAAAAUGGAAAAUGCUUGCUUUGGUUUUAUAUAAUACCUUUCAAUGUAAAGGACAUUAAUUUAAGUACCUGUUGUGCUUGGCUCCUUUGAGAGAAGUUGUGAGCAGGGCUUGUUUAUUGAGUCUGCAUUGUGUGUGAAACCCAUUACAUAUGUUCAUUUAAAAAGUCAGGCCUGUUGAGUUAUAAUUUGUAUAAACUAAAAGUCCGUGAUGAGUGUUCAUUUAAAAAGUCAGGUCUGUUGAGUUAUAAUUUGUAUAAACUAAAAGUCCGUGAUGAGUGUUCAUUUAAAAAGUCAGGCCUGCUGAGUUAUAAUUUGUAUAAACUAAAAGUCCGUGAUGAGUUUUGACAAUGUAAAUAGUUGUGUAACUACCAUAACAAUUAAGAUAGACAAAAAGCAUAUCACUCCUCGAAUUUCCCUUGUGCCCCUUUUUAGUCAGUCUGCUGUUCCCACUACCAAUCACUGGCAAAUAUGGAUCUAAUAUUUUCCUAAGGUUUUGUCUUUUCAGUAAUGUCACAUAAAAGAAAUAACACAGCAUGUAGUCACUUUGCCUGGCUUCUUCUACCAGAUGUUCUAAUGUAAUCAUUACUAGACCUUAUGAAGUAGGUUUUGUUAUUUUCAUUUUAUAGAUAAGAAAAUGAAGGCUUUGAGAAUUGAAGUGACCUACUCUCUCUAAGCCAGAUUUUAAUCCCCCAAAUUUCAUAAACUACAAUAGGCUAAAGAAGAUAAUACUUUGGGGAAGAUGUUGCUCAAAUCUCAUUACUUAAGUAUCUGCUGGAACCCAGCUAAUGCUGGCAUGCUGGAACAUAAAUGGAAGCUCAUUGAGUCAGCUCCAUCUGGUUUCAGAAUCUUGGCAUCUAACUCAACAUGUGCUUAAAAAAAUCAUGAAAGGAAACAAUUCAUGGUUAGCCACCAGGAGAUGGUCCUAAGGCUCUGUUGACCCUACUUCUUAAACUGAGAUUGAGUCAAUACAUUUAUGCUUUAGCUGAAAAAAAAAAAAGGUAUGAGGUGGAAAUCUUAAGGAACACACAUGAGAUAUGGAAAAUUAAUCCUCAAAGUACAAUAAUUACGGAGAAAGUUCCUAUACUGUAAAUGAGGAUGACAUAAUUAUUUACCAGCUUAGGUAUGUGCAUCCUUCUCUCUGUCUGAUAAAGGCCUAAGUCAAAUAUGUUCUGUUUUGAUUUUUAAAGAAAAUAAAAAAGGUGGCUGGGUGCGGUGGCUCACACCUGUAAUCCCAGCACUUUGGUAGGCCGAGUGGGUGGAUCGCAUGAGGUCAGGAGUUCGAGACCAGCCUGGUCAACAUGGUGAGACCCCAUCUCUACUAAAAAUGCAAAACAAUUAGCGAGGCAUGGUGGUGCAUACCUGUAGUCCCAGCUACUCGGUGGGCUGAGGCAGGAGAAUAGCUUGAAUCUGGGAGGCAGAGGUUGCAGUGAGCCGAGAUUAUGCCACUGCACUCCAGCCUGGAAAACACAGUGAGACUCUCUUUCCAAAAAUAAUAAUAUUAAUAAUAAUAUUAAUAAAUAAAAUAAGGACAUAAAGAUUUAGAACUCUAUACUAUGAAAAAAUAAUUUUAUGUAUCUCAGCUCUUUUAGCAAAGACUAUUAGGGUAAUCCCAUUAUAAUAAAAUAACUGUGGAAAAAGAUUAUCUCAGGAGAAAUUAUUUAGACUCUAGAAUGAAGAAUUUUCUUCAAUAAUUAAUUUUACUUGAUACCUCUUACUGACCGUACCAUACUGGCCUGAGAGUAAAGGGUGUUUCAAGACGUAAUCUGCUUCCUUGGAAAAAAAAAUCUAAAGUGUUUAUUAAGUGUUUUACUAUGUGUCCAGGCCGUGGGACUCCUAUACUUUUUAAGAGUUGGAAACUUUUAAUAUUUUCUUAGCCUCAAAUCAGACUGAGAUUAUGCAUGACUAUGGAAACAUGCUACUCUUGGAAGUGUUGGAAGUGUUGAAAAUCACAUGCUCCCUUUUCCACUUCAACUUAGAAGUUCCAGUGAUGUUGAACAAGUGAGUUUCCUCCCGGCUAAGACGGAGCCUCCUUCCUUCUAUUCACCUAUGGGUGCUAUCACUAAAGAUAGAAAGAGAUCUUUAUCUUUCUUGGUAUCCAAACAAUCGCCUUCACAAGAUCGUUUGUGCUCUUUGAAGACGCAACCACAUGCUAACUUUGCUUAGUCAAGUUUCUUAUUCUUACAAGGAUGGACUCCCUCAGGUAACAGGUGAUGCUCGUUGCCGAAUCAGGAAGCAGAUGAUGAAUCUGGUUGGUAAAACAACGAGGGAUGUUCAGGUGGCUUUGCUAUGAGAGCAGUCCAGGUGAGGAAGGACAUACUUCUUAGGUGUGACUGCUGUCUCCUGAGCACUGGUAUGAUACGGCCACAGUGAAUAGCCCUGCAGUUGGGCUAAUGGCUAAUGUCUCCUGCAACCCAAAUCUCAACUGAGACGAUUUCAGAAUGUAGCAAGUUGUCAGCUUCUUCUCAGUUAACACAUAAAAUGCAUACAGCCAAAUAUCUGGCAAAAGUUCAAGAGUUCAAUUUUCCUCAAUUACUGAUGCUUACAGGAUUUUUCUUAACAUAUUCUAAAUGAAUUAGCUCUGAAGAAUGACCCUGGCCAUAAUCACAGCACAGUGGGUAAGUGUUUAGACUUUUAUAUCAAUUAAACAUAACAUUCAUAUCCAAAGUGUUUUAGUGUAUCUGACAAUAAAACCUUUUCCACCAUUGCAGUCGUUUUUUCCCAUUUGAUUUUAUAACCACAUAUUUCUUGCUGAAGGAUAUCAAGGAGAUGUGGCCAAGACAUAAAACUCAUUUCAAAAAUUUUGAGUAUAUGAGUAGUUCCUGGAAUCCUGAUUAUUCCUUGUAGAGAAGGGACCUACAGAUGAAAGAACAAUAGCAAAAAUUCUAUAGCGGGACUCAAGGUAUAAAAGAAAUUCAGAGCUAAACAAUGGCAUUACUGUUCAAGGCCAAAAUUAUGCUUGAUGUAUAAGAUUUUUCUACAUUUUGUAGCCCAUGUGCUCCCUCCACCCCAGUUAUACAAAUGUGCAAGUAUCAUGUCUUCCUUUAGUGUUUAUUUGCUCUUUAAAUAUAAAUUAAGCUCCUAUAACUGAGAUUACUAAAUAAAGGAGAAAGCACAUUUUUGGUUUUACGGCACGGUGCUAUUUUUAUUUUGCAAAAGUUGGGAUCCAUUCACUCUCUUACCACCAUUGUGUGAAUGUCCCCAUUUCUCAUGUUUCCAUCUAGUUGAAGUAUUACUACUAGCAUGUAUAUGGAUUCCUACAGUAAUGUAAAAAAGUAAUGUAAUUCCUAAAAAUAAA